This 1018-nucleotide ribosomal RNA is filed under the name uncultured Rhizophagus. Its description in RNAcentral is "eukaryotic LSU rRNA". The stretch from base 1 to 240 matches the Rfam family "Eukaryotic small subunit ribosomal RNA", at positions 1595 to 1831 of the family's 1831-position model. Lineage: Eukaryota; Fungi; Glomeromycota; Glomeromycetes; Glomerales; Glomeraceae. The record is from RNAcentral.
GCUCUUGAACGAGGAAUCAAAGUAAGUACAAGUCACUAGCUUGUGCUGAUUACGUCCUGUCUUUGUACACACCGCCCGUCGCUACUACCGAUUGAAUGGCUUAGUGAGGCCCUCGGAUUGAGGCUCGGAGACUGUCUCUCUUAACUAGAAGAAAUUUGAAAAGUUGGUCAAACUUGGUCAUUUAGAGGAAGUGAAAGUCGUAACAAGGUUUCCGUAGGUGAACCUGCGGAAGGAUGAUUACCAAUUUUUAGCGGACCUGAUCUUUGAUCAUGGUCUCGCGAAAACUUGUAUUUAAAACCCCACUCUUAUAAAUUGAAUCAUUUUUUAUAUUGUAUAAUAAAUAAAGAUCACUUUCAACAACGGAUCUCUUGGCUCUCGCAUCGAUGAAGAACGUAGCGAAGUUCUUAUAUUUUAAUGUGAAUUGCAGAAUUCCGUGAAUCAUCGAAUCUUUGAACGCGGAGGGGCGGGGCGCUUCAGAGACCACCCCCUGUUUGAGGGUCAGUAUUAAUAAAAAUCGGUGCGUUGCAAAUUUUUGUGACGUUUCCGGAGUUUGAGUUAUCUUAACUUCGGUUUUAAGAGGCUUAAAAUUGACCUUUUUUUUGUGCAUUUUAGACGUACAUAAAUCUUUUUUUAUUCGUCUAUCCCUAAUGCCCAAAAUCUAUUAGAUGCGACCAUAUCUGGUGGUUUCGUGUCUAUAAAUUUUUCAUAAUUUGACCUCAAUCAGUAGGGAUACCCGCUGACUUAAGCAUAUCAUAGCGGAGGAAAAGAAAAAUACAUGAUUCCCCUAGUAACUGGCGAGUGAGAGGGAACAGCUCCAAAUUUUAAAUCUGUUAAGUUUACCCUGACCGGUUGUAUUGAAGAAGGGCGUUUCCGGCGUAUUUGUUCAACCCAAGUCCUAUUGGAUUGAAGGCAUCCAUGGAGGGUGAUUAAUUCCGGUUCGGUUGAUACUUGCAUUCUCUACGGAAUCGGCUUCAAAGAGUCAAGUGUGAAUGCAGCUUAAUUGGGAGGAUACUUCUCC